AGAGUUUGAUCAUGGCUCAGAUUGAACGCUGGCGGCAGGCCUAACACAUGCAAGUCGAACGGUAACAGGAAGCAGCUUGCUGCUUCGCUGACGAGUGGCGGACGGGUGAGUAAUGUCUGGGAAGCUGCCUGAUGGAGGGGGAUAACUACUGGAAACGGUAGCUAAUACCGCAUAAUGUCGCAAGACCAAAGAGGGGGACCUUCGGGCCUCUUGCCAUCGGAUGUGCCCAGAUGGGAUUAGCUUGUUGGUGGGGUAACGGCUCACCAAGGCGACGAUCCCUAGCUGGUCUGAGAGGAUGACCAGCCACACUGGAACUGAGACACGGUCCAGACUCCUACGGGAGGCAGCAGUGGGGAAUAUUGCACAAUGGGCGCAAGCCUGAUGCAGCCAUGCCGCGUGUAUGAAGAAGGCCUUCGGGUUGUAAAGUACUUUCAGCGGGGAGGAAGGGAGUAAAGUUAAUACCUUUGCUCAUUGACGUUACCCGCAGAAGAAGCACCGGCUAACUCCGUGCCAGCAGCCGCGGUAAUACGGAGGGUGCAAGCGUUAAUCGGAAUUACUGGGCGUAAAGCGCACGCAGGCGGUUUGUUAAGUCAGAUGUGAAAUCCCCGGGCUCAACCUGGGAACUGCAUCUGAUACUGGCAAGCUUGAGUCUCGUAGAGGGGGGUAGAAUUCCAGGUGUAGCGGUGAAAUGCGUAGAGAUCUGGAGGAAUACCGGUGGCGAAGGCGGCCCCCUGGACGAAGACUGACGCUCAGGUGCGAAAGCGUGGGGAGCAAACAGGAUUAGAUACCCUGGUAGUCCACGCCGUAAACGAUGUCGACUUGGAGGUUGUGCCCUUGAGGCGUGGCUUCCGGAGCUAACGCGUUAAGUCGACCGCCUGGGGAGUACGGCCGCAAGGUUAAAACUCAAAUGAAUUGACGGGGGCCCGCACAAGCGGUGGAGCAUGUGGUUUAAUUCGAUGCAACGCGAAGAACCUUACCUGGUCUUGACAUCCACGGAAGUUUUCAGAGAUGAGAAUGUGCCUUCGGGAACCGUGAGACAGGUGCUGCAUGGCUGUCGUCAGCUCGUGUUGUGAAAUGUUGGGUUAAGUCCCGCAACGAGCGCAACCCUUAUCCUUUGUUGCCAGCGGUCCGGCCGGGAACUCAAAGGAGACUGCCAGUGAUAAACUGGAGGAAGGUGGGGAUGACGUCAAAUCAUCAUGGCCCUUACGACCAGGGCUACACGCGUGCUACAAUGGCGCAUACAAAGAGAAGCGACCUCGCGAGAGCAAGCGGACCUCAUAAAGUGCGUCGUAGUCCGGAUUGGAGUCUGCAACUCGACUCCAUGAAGUCGGAAUCGCUAGUAAUCGUGGAUCAGAAUGCCACGGUGAAUACGUUCCCGGGCCUUGUACACACCGCCCGUCACACCAUGGGAGUGGGUUGCAAAAGAAGUAGGUAGCUUAACCUUCGGGAGGGCGCUUACCACUCUGUGAUUCAUGACUGGGGUGAAGUCGAAACAAGGUAACCGUAGGGGAACCUGCGGUUG
RNAcentral lists this ribosomal RNA (1522 nucleotides) under metagenome. Its description in RNAcentral is "bacterial SSU rRNA". It matches the Rfam family "Bacterial small subunit ribosomal RNA". The record is from RNAcentral.